CGAACGGUAACAGGAAGCAGCUUGCUGCUUCGCUGACGAGUGGCGGACGGGUGAGUAAUGUCUGGGAAACUGCCUGAUGGAGGGGGAUAACUACUGGAAACGGUGGCUAAUACCGCAUAACGUCGCAAGACCAAAGAGGGGGACCUUCGGGCCUCUUGCCAUCAGAUGUGCCCAGAUGGGAUUAGCUUGUUGGUGAGGUAACGGCUCACCAAGGCGACGAUCCCUAGCUGGUCUGAGAGGAUGACCAGCCACACUGGAACUGAGACACGGUCCAGACUCCUACGGGAGGCAGCAGUGGGGAAUAUUGCACAAUGGGCGCAAGCCUGAUGCAGCCAUGCCGCGUGUAUGAAGAAGGCCUUCGGGUUGUAAAGUACUUUCAGCGGGGAGGAAGGUGUUGUGGUUAAUAACCGCAGCAAUUGACGUUACCCGCAGAAGAAGCACCGGCUAACUCCGUGCCAGCAGCCGCGGUAAUACGGAGGGUGCAAGCGUUAAUCGGAAUUACUGGGCGUAAAGCGCACGCAGGCGGUCUGUCAAGUCGGAUGUGAAAUCCCCGGGCUCAACCUGGGAACUGCAUUCGAAACUGGCAGGCUUGAGUCUUGUAGAGGGGGGUAGAAUUCCAGGUGUAGCGGUGAAAUGCGUAGAGAUCUGGAGGAAUACCGGUGGCGAAGGCGGCCCCCUGGACAAAGACUGACGCUCAGGUGCGAAAGCGUGGGGAGCAAACAGGAUUAGAUACCCUGGUAGUCCACGCCGUAAACGAUGUCUACUUGGAGGUUGUGCCCUUGAGGCGUGGCUUCCGGAGCUAACGCGUUAAGUAGACCGCCUGGGGAGUACGGCCGCAAGGUUAAAACUCAAAUGAAUUGACGGGGGCCCGCACAAGCGGUGGAGCAUGUGGUUUAAUUCGAUGCAACGCGAAGAACCUUACCUGGUCUUGACAUCCACAGAAGAAUCCAGAGAUGGAUUGGUGCCUUCGGGAACUGUGAGACAGGUGCUGCAUGGCUGUCGUCAGCUCGUGUUGUGAAAUGUUGGGUUAAGUCCCGCAACGAGCGCAACCCUUAUCCUUUGUUGCCAGCGAUUAGG
RNAcentral lists this ribosomal RNA (1077 nucleotides) under Salmonella enterica subsp. enterica serovar Typhimurium. Its description in RNAcentral is "bacterial SSU rRNA". It matches the Rfam family "Bacterial small subunit ribosomal RNA", at positions 63 to 1129 of the family's 1533-position model. Lineage: Bacteria; Pseudomonadati; Pseudomonadota; Gammaproteobacteria; Enterobacterales; Enterobacteriaceae. The record is from RNAcentral.